Herpailurus yagouaroundi (jaguarundi) is the source of this 2755-nucleotide RNA transcript. It is a transcript of the gene named zinc finger protein 286A, with no coding region annotated. The record is from RefSeq and is a predicted model, not a curated record. NCBI's taxonomy places the organism in Eukaryota, Metazoa, Chordata, Mammalia, Carnivora, Felidae. The transcript has 5 exons.
CUGUUUGCUAUGCUUUGUUCUUUUGUAUUGUUUCCUGCCUUUUGUGCAAUAGUUGGCAUUUUUCUGGGUUUUUUUUUUCUUUUAAUCUGGAAAUUAAUUCCCGUCGAGUGUCAUUUCAGCUAUAGAUAUGCAGAUUAUAGGACCAAGUUCAUUUUUUACUCAUAAUGUCUGUUUAGUGGCUACUUAAUGAUUUUUUUAUAUUUCAUUUUAUUUUUCAAGGACGAUUCUUGUUGUUUUUUUUUUAAUUCUUGUUAUUUAAAUCUCAGAUCAUUUCCACUUUGGAAAUGUUAUUUUGAAAUAAUUUUAGACUGAAGGAAAUGUUGUAAAUAAGAGUUUUCAUAUACUCUCCAUUCAGAUUUUCUGAAAGUUAACAUUUAUCUCACUUAUAAUAAUUCAUUACAGCUUUUAUAUAUUUUAUGUUAUAUAAACUUAAUCCUAUGAUAUUUACAACGUUUAUAAGUUAUAUCUGUGCCUUCAGUUUGUUGCUGGUAGUUUCCAAUUUAAUGCUUUUUGCCUUGAAUUCCAUGCCUACCUGGAUUUGGUGCCUUUUGCCAAUCUUUCAUUCCAUAACUUCUUCCUUUGCAAGUUUUGCAUUUCAAUUCAUCUUCUGAUUGGCUAGGUUAAUUGAGUUUUUAUUGAGGACUCACCAGGAGAAUUAUGCAGACAUGCAUCAUUUUUCCUCUGCUCUUUUUUUGUUUACUUUGCCAAAUUGCAUUGUUGACUCACUGGUUCAUGUUUCAGCUCUUCAUUUCCCAGAAGAACUGUGGUCUCAAUGGAAAAACCACAGUCUGUCUUCUUUCGGUUCUCAUAUUGAAUCCAGGACAUAGGUGAUACCCAGUGACUUUGGAGUAUUCCGAAUUUGAAUACAUGACAAGGCUUGUCAUUUAUCACAACCAUUCCCCUCAUGCAUGUAUUUUACACAUCUACUCUAAGGCCAUCAGAAAUUGGGGGGGUGAAAUUGAGUCUGUUGAGUGAAAGAUGUGAACAAAAGUAUGUUUGUGUCUUAGGCAUCAGUGACAUUCAAGGAUGUGGCCAUGGACUUUACCCCAGAGGAGUGGGGGAAGCUGGAUCCUGCCCAAAGGGAGGUGAUGCUGGAGAACUAUAGGAACCUGGUGUCGCUUUGGCUUCCAGUUUCCAAAUCUGAGAACUACAGUUUGGAGAGCGGAAAAGAACCACUGAUGCUUGAGAGAAAAGCCCCCAAAAGCAGCUAUUCAGACCUGGAGGCUAAACCCGAGGGCAAAGAUUCAACUUCAGUGCAAGAUAUUUCCAAAGAAGAAUCAUGCCAAGCCGCAGUAAUAGACAGACUGACAGGAAACGGUGUCUAUGACUCCAGCUUGGAAACAACUCUUGAAUGUGAAAAUUGGUUAGAGAAUCAGCAAGGAAAUCAGGAGAGACCCUUGAGAGAAAUGUUCACCCAUGUGAAUUCACUCCCCGAAGAAGGAGCUCAUGAGCAUGACGUAUAUUGGAAAAACUUUGGUCAGAAGUCUGUUCUUCUCACUCAAGACAGAGUUCCCAAAGGAUCCUAUGCCUUCCAUACACUUGGAAAAAGGUUGAAACCGAAAUCAAACUUAAUGAAAAAGCAAAGAACCUGUAAAGAGAAAAAACCUCAUAAAUGUAACGAUUGCGGGGAGCUCUUCACUUACCAUUCAGUGCUUAUUCGACACCAGAGAGUCCAUACUGGAGAGAAACCCUAUAGCUGUAAUGAAUGUGGGAAAUCUUUUAGCCACAGAGCUAAUUUAACUAAACAUCAGAGAACUCAUACCAGAAUUCUCUUUGAAUGCAGUGAAUGCAAGAAGGCCUUCACAGAAAGCUCAUCCCUCGCGAUACAUCAGAGAAUUCACAUUGGGGAGAGACCGUAUGAAUGCAAUGAAUGCGGAAAAGGUUUUAAUCGAAGUACACAUCUGGUACAGCAUCAGUUGAUUCAUACUGGAGUGAAGCCGUAUGAAUGUAAUGAAUGUGAUAAAGCUUUCAUUCAUUCCUCAGCUCUUAUUAAACAUCAAAGAACUCAUACUGGAGAGAAACCCUACAAAUGUCAGGAAUGUGGGAAAGCCUUUAGCCACUGCUCAUCCCUUACUAAACAUCAGAGAGUUCAUACUGGAGAAAAGCCAUAUGAAUGUAGCGAAUGUGGAAAAACCUUUAGUCAGAGCACACAUCUUGUUCAGCAUCAGAGAAUCCAUACUGGAGAGAAACCCUAUGAGUGUAACGAAUGUGGGAAGACCUUCAGCCGGAGCUCAAAUUUUGCUAAACAUCAAAGAAUUCAUAUUGGAAAGAAACCGUACAAAUGUAAUGAAUGUGGGAAAGCCUUCAUUCAUUCAUCAGCUCUUAUUCAACACCAGAGAACUCAUACUGGAGAGAAGCCUUACAGAUGUGACGAAUGUGGGAAAAGCUUUAAGUGCAGUUCAUCCCUCAUCAGACAUCAAAGAAUUCAUACUGAAGAGCAACUCUGAAAAAUUACUGAAUGUGAAGAAAUGGCUAGAAAACUAAACCCAAUGGAUUCAUCUCUAUCAAGUUCCACCUGUAAUACCUGUAAAUAUGGAUGAAUUCCUCUCCUUUUGCGGUUCCCCAGAUCUGUUACAGCUCCUGUUCUACCGGAGAGUGACCUUCUUUUCGACUUGUAGGGCUGGGAUCUUGAAAGCCAUAGCAUAGGUCGUUCAUUCCUCCUCAAUUAACUCUUUGUCCUCCACUGAAUCGUCGGUUAACAGUCUGAUCUCAUGAAGUAAUCUGCUUCCAGACCAAAAAAAACAAAAACAAAACC